RNAcentral lists this ribosomal RNA (253 nucleotides) under uncultured bacterium. Its description in RNAcentral is "partial 16S ribosomal RNA". It matches the Rfam family "Bacterial small subunit ribosomal RNA", at positions 524 to 776 of the family's 1533-position model. The record is from RNAcentral.
UACGUAGGGUGCGAGCGUUAAUCGGAAUUACUGGGCGUAAAGCGUGCGCAGGCGGGCUUUUAAGCCAGACGUGAAAUCCCCGGGCUUAACCUGGGAAUGGCGUUUGGGACUGGGAGUCUGGAGUACGGCAGAGGAGACUGGAAUUCCUGGUGUAGCAGUGAAAUGCGUAGAUAUCAGGAGGAACACCGGUGGCGAAGGCGGGUCUCUGGGAAACAACUGACGCUGAGGAACGAAAGCGUGGGUAGCAAACAGG